Molecule: ribosomal RNA, 468 nt
Filed under: uncultured bacterium
Lineage: Bacteria
Description: partial 16S ribosomal RNA
Rfam family: Bacterial small subunit ribosomal RNA
Source: RNAcentral
GACGAACGCUGGCGGCGUGCUUAACACAUGCCAGUCGAACGGAAAGGCCCUGCUUUCGUGGUGUGCUCGAGUGGCGAACGGGUGAGUAACACGUGAGUAACCUGACCUAGACUUUGGGAUAACUUCAGGAAACUGGGGUUACUACCGGAUAGCAGCUCCUGCUGCAUGGUGGGGGUUGGAAAGUCUCGGCGGUUGGGGAUGGACUCGCGGCUUAUCAGCUUGUUGGUGGGGUAGUGGCUUACCAAGGCUUUGACGGGUAGCCGGCCUGAGAGGGUGACCGGCCACAUUGGGACUGAGAUACGGCCCAGACUCCUACGGGAGGCAGCAGUGGGGAAUAUUGCACAAUGGGCGGAAGCCUGAUGCAGCAACGCCGCGUGCGGGAUGACGGCCUUCGGGUUGUAAACCGCUUUCGCCUGUGACGAAGCGUGAGUGACGGUAAUGGGUAAAGAAGCACCGGCUAACUACGUG